AGCAGCCGCGGUAAUUCCAGCUCCAAUAGCGUAUAUUAAAGUUGUUGCAGUUAAAAAGCUCGUAGUUGAAUUUCGGGAUCAAUACGUCGGUCGUGCUUCGGUACGUACUGGCGUCAUUGGUUUCUCCCUUCUGACGAACCAUGAUGUCAUUAAUUUGGUGUUAUGGGAAAUCAGGACUGUUACUUUGAAAAAAUUAGAGUGUUUAAAGCAGGCUCGCGCUUGAAUACAUUAGCAUGGAAUAAUAAAAUAGGACGUUUGAUUCUAUUUUGUUGGUUUCUAGGAUUGACGUAAUGAUUAAUAGGGAUAGUUGGGGGCAUUAGUAUUCAAUUGUCAGAGGUGAAAUUCUUGGAUUUAUUGAAGACUAACUACUGCGAAAGCAUUUGCCAA
This 387-nucleotide ribosomal RNA is filed under the name uncultured Glomeromycotina. Its description in RNAcentral is "SSU rRNA". It matches the Rfam family "Eukaryotic small subunit ribosomal RNA", at positions 569 to 961 of the family's 1831-position model. Lineage: Eukaryota; Fungi; Glomeromycota. The record is from RNAcentral.